UAGUGAACAAGACAUGGUAUUUAAUCUAAUUUAAUUUAAUUUCAAUUCCUUUUCUCCCAUGUAGACGAGUGCUGGUGGCAGACUGAGGGAGAAGGAAUAACCCCAGCACUGUGGAACACAGGGGUCUGCCAGUGCUGGCGAAGCCUUUUUUGAGAAGCACACAGAAAAUCUGCCAUCCCAACCCCAAAUCUCCUUCCCACUGGCCACCAGCCUGAGCAGGAGCUGUGUCCAGGUGCUCCAUCCCAGCUCUGACUCCUGAUGGAUAUUUCCCUAUUCCUGGUAAGAAUCUGAAUUUUCUUUUUUUUUUUUUUUUCUCAUCUACAACAAACCUAACAUGUCCAGGUGAAUGUUCCUGUAGGAAGUACCAGGAAGGAGAAGAAUUUGGAGCCAGGAUGUCAAGGAUGGAAAAGAUUCCAUCAGGAAAAGAUUCCUACAGGAACAUUUACCCUAAAAUUACUCUGAGAGGU
RNAcentral lists this long non-coding RNA (467 nucleotides) under Zonotrichia albicollis (white-throated sparrow). Its description in RNAcentral is "lncRNA (ENSZALG00000004214.1)". Lineage: Eukaryota; Metazoa; Chordata; Aves; Passeriformes; Passerellidae. The record is from RNAcentral.